AUGUACUUAUUUUAUUCUUCAUCCCACUGCUGUCAUUUCUAAGUAAGUAAGCGCGUAUGUCUAUUACACGUAUUCUAAAACUUUCAAAUAUACAGCAUGCACGUGCUAGCACUUAUUUUUUAGCAGCGUUUAAUGAACUGGUAUUGAAUUUCACAAUAAAAGUCUACCACAGGAGAUGGCGCCAAAUCCUCCAAUGCACGCAAACCUUCAGCCAGUAAAUCCACCGUUACGCAUAUGGGUUGAUGUUAUUUAUCACUACCAUAUUUCUAGAAACGAUGUAAAACCAAAUUGUUCUGUUGUGAAUGUGAUAGAUUUGCACUUCAAUAUUUUUUAAUUCCUCGACUUAGUUUUUAAGACCGAUUUUGAUCAGUGUCUCUUAUUUGACAUUUUUUAGAGUAAAAACAUGUGCAGAGCGAGAGACUUGUGCCAGACUUUCUCCAUCUGUCAUCCGGGUGAAAAACUGGCUUCAGUCUGAGCCGAUCUCACACUGGAUAUCAAAGAAAUAGGUUGGCUUCCCAUCCCAAGGUUUCCUUGUUCGUUUGUUUUUUCUUCUUCAAGUCAAAGCUUGCAAGGAACCGGAAAUUCAUCAGGUGCUUGUGUGACAGUAAACAACAUGCCUGCCUGGUCAUGUGAUCAAGAAAUGGCAAAAAUAUGCUUCUCCCUGACAAACAGGUCUUUCUGUCUUUGCAUGCUAUGAACAACCAAACCUGCAUCAUCAAGCCUGCAAUGAGCACAGCUGAGGAGGGAUUCAGGAGAUCCCCGCUGAUGAAAAGCAUGAAGGAAUCAGAGGGGAAAAGAUUGUAUAACAUUACACUGCAAGGCAGCAAUGUCUCUAACACGGGGUUCACAGGAAUUGGCACAUUGGUGCGAGAAUAAUAACUUGAUGAGAACCUCAGCUCUAACCACAUGUCUUGGAAAAAUGAAACAUACUGAACAUGGAGACACGAGGACUCAAACUAAACCUGAAGACGAAGAAGAGGGAAAAGUGGAGGAGAAGGAGGAAUGAACUUAAACUUCCACGACACAAAUCAAAAACUAUUGAUGCGACACUGAAACUCAUCAAUGACCAACAUGAAUCAAAUAUUCAAAGAUGUCACAAGAAAUAAAGCUGUUAAAAUAAAAGAUCUAAGAAAACAGUAAUUGUAACAGGCACCCAACUCAAACUUGAUUUGGUUCACUCACACUAGAAUAAAAACAGGACUAC
Long non-coding RNA from Haplochromis burtoni (Burton's mouthbrooder), 1204 nucleotides. RefSeq lists it as uncharacterized. NCBI's taxonomy places the organism in Eukaryota, Metazoa, Chordata, Actinopteri, Cichliformes, Cichlidae. The transcript is spliced from 3 exons. The record is from RefSeq and is a predicted model, not a curated record.